Molecule: ribosomal RNA, 465 nt
Filed under: Vreelandella stevensii
Lineage: Bacteria; Pseudomonadati; Pseudomonadota; Gammaproteobacteria; Oceanospirillales; Halomonadaceae
Description: partial 16S ribosomal RNA
Rfam family: Bacterial small subunit ribosomal RNA
Source: RNAcentral
CCUACGGGAGGCAGCAGUGGGGAAUAUUGGACAAUGGGGGGAACCCUGAUCCAGCCAUGCCGCGUGUGUGAAGAAGGCCCUCGGGUUGUAAAGCACUUUCAGUGAGGAAGAACGCCUGGUGGUUAAUACCCAUCAGGAAAGACAUCACUCACAGAAGAAGCACCGGCUAACUCCGUGCCAGCAGCCGCGGUAAUACGGAGGGUGCGAGCGUUAAUCGGAAUUACUGGGCGUAAAGCGCGCGUAGGUGGCUUGAUAAGCCGGUUGUGAAAGCCCCGGGCUCAACCUGGGAACGGCAUCCGGAACUGUCAAGCUAGAGGGCAGUAGAGGAAGGUAGAAUUCCCGGUGUAGCGGUGAAAUGCGUAGAGAUCGGGAGGAAUACCAGUGGCGAAGGCGGCCUUCUGGACUGACACUGACACUGAGGUGCGAAAGCGUGGGUAGCAAACAGGAUUAGAUACCCUGGUAGUC